UUCUGGCUCAGGAUGAACGCUAGCGGCAGGCUUAACACAUGCAAGUCGAGGGGCAGCGGGAUGUAGCAAUACAUUGCCGGCGACCGGCGGAUGGGUGCGUAACGCGUAUGCAACCUACCUUAUACAGGGGAAUAACCUUUCGAAAGGGAGACUAACACCCCAUAGUAUUGAUUUAAGGCAUCUUAGAUUAAUUAAAUAUUUAUAGGUAUAAGAUGGGCAUGCGUAUGAUUAGCUAGUUGGUAAGGUAACGGCUUACCAAGGCGACGAUCAUUAGGGGUUCUGAGAGGAAGGUCCCCCACACUGGUACUGAGACACGGACCAGACUCCUACGGGAGGCAGCAGUGAGGAAUAUUGGUCAAUGGGCGCAAGCCUGAACCAGCCAUGCCGCGUGCCAGGAAGACGGCCUUAUGGGUUGUAAACUGCUUUUACGUAAGACUAACCGUAUAUUUGCGAAUAUACCUGAAUGUAUUAUGAGAAUAAGGAUCGGCUAACUCCGUGCCAGCAGCCGC
RNAcentral lists this ribosomal RNA (509 nucleotides) under uncultured bacterium. Its description in RNAcentral is "bacterial SSU rRNA". It matches the Rfam family "Bacterial small subunit ribosomal RNA", at positions 17 to 518 of the family's 1533-position model. The record is from RNAcentral.